AUUGGCUGAAAAUCACCUGUGGUUUUGUCCAUGACUGCGGGUGAGAUUCUGCGCCCAGAGUCACGGGGGCCUCCGUUCAUUGCCCACUCAGUGCAGGGAGGUGAAACCCAGGUGCCAACACAU
Pteronotus mesoamericanus is the source of this 123-nucleotide small nucleolar RNA. RefSeq annotates it as small nucleolar RNA ACA64. The record is from RefSeq and is a predicted model, not a curated record. NCBI's taxonomy places the organism in Eukaryota, Metazoa, Chordata, Mammalia, Chiroptera, Mormoopidae. The transcript has a single exon.